UACGUAGGUGGCGAGCGUUGUCCGGAUUUACUGGGCGUAAAGAGCGCGCAGGCGGUCGUGCAAGUCGCGUGUGAAAGCCCCCGGCUCAACUGGGGAGGGUCACGCGAUACUGCUCGACUUGAAGGCAGGAGAGGGAAGUGGAAUUCCCGGUGUAGUGGCGAAAUGCGUAGAUAUCGGGAGGAACACCAGUGGCGAAGGCGACUUCCUGGCCUGUUCUUGACGCUGAGGCGCGAAAGCUAGGGUAGCAAACGGG
This 253-nucleotide ribosomal RNA is filed under the name uncultured bacterium. Its description in RNAcentral is "partial 16S ribosomal RNA". It matches the Rfam family "Bacterial small subunit ribosomal RNA", at positions 524 to 776 of the family's 1533-position model. The record is from RNAcentral.